CGGAGAUACGCGCUGAAUGACGAAGCUUGCUUUUGAAUUCUUGUGUAUCUUAGUGGCGGACGGGUGAGUAACGCGUGAGCAACCUGCCUUUCAGAGGGGGAUAACGUUUGGAAACGAACGCUAAUACCGCAUGAGACUACGGUACUACAUGGUACAGUGGCCAAAGGAGCAAUCCGCUGAAAGAUGGGCUCGCGUCCGAUUAGAUAGUUGGCGGGGUAACGGCCCACCAAGUCGACGAUCGGUAGCCGGACUGAGAGGUUGAACGGCCACAUUGGGACUGAGACACGGCCCAGACUCCUACGGGAGGCAGCAGUGAGGGAUAUUGGUCAAUGGGGGAAACCCUGAACCAGCAACGCCGCGUGAGGGAAGACGGUUUUCGGAUUGUAAACCUCUGUCCUCUGUGAAGAUAAUGACGGUAGCAGAGGAGGAAGCUCCGGCUAACUACGUGCCAGCAGCCGCGGUAAUACGUAGGGAGCAAGCGUUGUCCGGAUUUACUGGGUGUAAAGGGUGCGUAGGCGGCCCUGCAAGUCAGAAGUGAAAUCCAUGGGCUUAACCCGUGAACUGCUUUUGAAACUGUAGGGCUUGAGUGAAGUAGAGGCAGGCGGAAUUCCCGGUGUAGCGGUGAAAUGCGUAGAGAUCGGGAGGAACACCAGUGGCGAAGGCGGCCUGCUGGGCUUUAACUGACGCUGAAGCACGAAAGCGUGGGUAGCAAAC
Molecule: ribosomal RNA, 714 nt
Filed under: uncultured bacterium
Lineage: Bacteria
Description: bacterial SSU rRNA
Rfam family: Bacterial small subunit ribosomal RNA
Source: RNAcentral